UUCUACGCAGAUUUUCCUCCUCCGUGAUGGAACUUUUCCUCCUCCGUAAGUUGCAAAUAAAAUACCAAAACAAAUCCAAUUUCAGCAAAAUCACAUUAAAUAAAAAAAAGGGGAAUUCGAAAUUCAUCCCCUAAUUCCACGUUGAAACCGUUCCCCUCUAUCCCACAAAUCUCUCCCAUAUCCCCAACCCCCUCUCCACUACAUUAAAUCCUAUAUCAGUUAUUCUUUUUCUUCACCUAUCGUAUCUGCAAGCAAGAAAGCAAGAACCAUUCUUCAACUUCUAUUCAAGAAACCACAUCUGGAGCUGGAGGAACCUCUUUGUUCACCCAACACUAUUAUCAUCCCAAUUCAACUUCAGGCAGAAGGUGAGACUUCGCAAGGGAAUCGUGAUCGCAAGGGAAAGAAAGUGAUUUCGGA
Long non-coding RNA from Salvia splendens (bonfire salvia), 417 nucleotides. RefSeq lists it as uncharacterized. The record is from RefSeq and is a predicted model, not a curated record. The transcript has 3 exons. Lineage: Eukaryota; Viridiplantae; Streptophyta; Magnoliopsida; Lamiales; Lamiaceae.